CGGAAUGAGGGCCAAUAUCCAUUCUUCUGGGACAUAGAUUGGGAAGAACUAAAAGCUCUCCAUGUGCAGCCCCCUGUACCCGGCAACACAUCAGAGAAAGAAUCUCCUUCUCAGACGUCGGAGUAACACCAUCCACUGGAGCCGCUUCCAAUAACAUCUUAAGUUGCAUCCAUCAUGAACUUUCUGAUGAUGUCCCUUAGGGUUCAGUAGAAGGUCCAGCCUGUAGCAAAAACAGCCGGCCACUCUCCAGCUGCCCAGAUUACAUCAGUCGGUAUAACAUCUCUUAUCAUUAGUCAGACUGUGUUUGAUCUCGGAAACCCUCAAAGAUCUGGAGAUACUGUAGAGACAACAAAUAUGUUUGGCGAGGGAUGCUGAUACUGAGGAGUGGUAACUGGAGCUGGACUAUGGGCUACAUGGAGGAACCUUGAUGGCUUGGUAAAAUUCCUUUUCAUAGAGCAGAAGAAGCUGGUAUGAGUAGUCUCGUGUAAUGCACAGGAGAGCUGGAGUACGUGGUUGGCGCAGGGGUAGUUUAUAUUCUUGCACCUAGUUCUUUGCUGAGUAGCAGGAGAAACCGGAAUGAUACCAGUAAUGUAGACGGCUGAAACUGGUAAUUUUGAACCAGAUUGGAACUGGAUUGCUGGACUUGGACUGGAAUGAUGUGUUGGACUAUAACUGGAUUGCUGAGCCGGACUGGAACCGGAUAACUAAACUGGACCUCUGGGACAAACAGGAGAAACAGUGUAUUGGCAGGUAACAGGAUAUAAGAGUCUGGAGCGUGACAUCGGGACCCUUAGGACUAAACAGAACCUAGGUGAAGUGGAGGUCUUCUGAUUCGGCAAGUGUAUGGUACCUCCUGGUUGCCCUACAUAUUAGAAUACAUUUACAAUAUUGUAUUAUUUAUUAUAUUACUAAUAUUUAUUAUUAACA
Pseudophryne corroboree (corroboree frog) is the source of this 927-nucleotide long non-coding RNA. RefSeq lists it as uncharacterized. The transcript has 3 exons. The record is from RefSeq and is a predicted model, not a curated record. Lineage: Eukaryota; Metazoa; Chordata; Amphibia; Anura; Myobatrachidae.